UACGUAGGGUGCAAGCGUUGUCCGGAAUUAUUGGGCGUAAAGAGUUCGUAGGCGGUUUGUCGCGUCUGCUGUGAAAACUCGGGGCUUAACUCCGGGCCUGCAGUGGGUACGGGCAGACUAGAGUGCGGUAGGGGAGACUGGAAUUCCUGGUGUAGCGGUGAAAUGCGCAGAUAUCAGGAGGAACACCGGUGGCGAAGGCGGGUCUCUGGGCAGUAACUGACGCUGAGGAGCGAAAGCGUGGGGAGCGAACAGG
This 253-nucleotide ribosomal RNA is filed under the name uncultured bacterium. RNAcentral describes it as "partial 16S ribosomal RNA". It matches the Rfam family "Bacterial small subunit ribosomal RNA", at positions 524 to 776 of the family's 1533-position model. The record is from RNAcentral.